Molecule: ribosomal RNA, 405 nt
Filed under: uncultured bacterium
Lineage: Bacteria
Description: partial 16S ribosomal RNA
Rfam family: Bacterial small subunit ribosomal RNA
Source: RNAcentral
AUUGAACGCUAGCGGGAUGCUUUACACAUGCAAGUCGAACGAGUGGCGGACGGGUGAGUAAUAUAUCGGGACGUGCCCAAUAGAGGGGGAUAACUACUCGAAACAGUGGCUAAUACCGCAUACUAUUGGAUCAGCCGAUAUGGGAUUCGCUAGUUGGUGGGGUAAAGGCUCACCAAGGCAACGAUCCGUAGCUGGUUUGAGAGGAGGACCAGCCACACUGGGACUGAGACACGGCCCAGACUCCUACGGGAGGCAGCAGUGGGGAAUUUUGGACAAUGGGGGAAAGCCUGAUCCAGCCAUGCCGCGUGUAUGAGAAGGCCUUCGGGUUGUAAAGUACUUUCGGCAGAGAGGCGGUAUCUGCAGAAUAAGCACCGGCUAACUCCGUGCCAGCAGCCGCGGUAAUAC